Long non-coding RNA from Symphalangus syndactylus (siamang), 1393 nucleotides. RefSeq lists it as uncharacterized. Lineage: Eukaryota; Metazoa; Chordata; Mammalia; Primates; Hylobatidae. The record is from RefSeq and is a predicted model, not a curated record.
CGAGCCUGGCCGGGUGGGGACACGGGGGUCAGCCAGGUCCGGGCGGCUCCCUGAAUCCUGGGGACCCAAAAUGGCACCCUCGACCUGAGAGCUGAGGCCCUACCAGCUCGGGACGACCGGAUUUUCUAGCCAGAAGGAGCCAGAAGCCAGCUCACCGUCCAACCCGCACCCGGCGCCUCCAUUUUCCACGAAGAGCUUCCUCUGUCCCCCACUUCCCCCGUCAAUGUGUGCGCUUUGAGCGGGGCUGUCCUCACCGCCCAGCUUCAGGGGCAAAAAGGAGUUUAACCCAGGUGAAAAAGAGUUUCCUUCCAAAGAAGAUCUAUAAAUAGCUAAGAAGCACAGGAAAACAUGUUUAACAUCAGUAGCCAUCUGGGAACCGGAAAUCAAUAUCGCAAUGAGCUACCGCUUCACACCUGCUAGGAUGGCUAUUAUCAAAAAGACAGUAACAAAUAGUAGCGAGGACGUGAAACAACUGGAGCCCUCAUAAACUGCUGAUAGACAUGGAAACACUCGGGAAAAGGGUCUGGAAGUUCCACAAACAGUUAAACAUAGAGUUACCAUAUGGCCCCACAAUUCUACUCUUAUAUACCCAAGAGAGAUGAAAACAUGUCCACAUGAAGACUCAUACAUGGAUACUCAGAGCAGCAUUGGUCACGACAGCCAAAAAGUGGAAGCAACCAGGCGUGCAUCAGCUGACAUCUGAGUAAACACAUCGAGUAAACGAGUAAAUACAAUGUGGUCUAUCCAAGCAAUGGAAUAUUAUCCAGCAAUGAAAAGGAAGCCAGUCGCAAAAGAGCACAUAUUGUAUGAUUCUAUUUAUAUGAAAUGUCCAGAAUGGGCAAAUGUAUUGAGACAGAAAGUAGAUUCCUGGUGGCCUAGGGCUGGGGGAGUGGGAGGAUUGGGAAUGACAGUUAAGGGGUACUGGUUUGUAUUUUUUUUUUUUUUUUUGAGAUGGAAUUUCACUCUUGUCCAGGCUGGAGUGCAGUGGUGCAAUCUUGGCUCACUGCAACCUCCACCUCCUGGGUUCAAGCAAUUCUCCUGCCUCAGCCUCCCAUGUAGCUGGGAUUAUAGGCAUGUACCACCACGCUUGGCUAACGUUUGUAUUUUUAGUAGAGACGGGGUUUCACCAUGUUGGUCAGGGUGGCCUCCAACUCCUGUCCUCAGGUGAUCCACCUGCCUCGGCCUUCCAAAGUGCUGGGAUUACAGGUGUGAACCACCGCGCCCAGCUGAGGUACUGGGUUACUGUGGUGGAGGGUAUUGGAAAUAUUUUAAGCUUGAUUGUGGUGAUGGAUGCACAACUCUGUGAAUAUACUACAAACCAGAAAGUGUACUCUGUAAAUGGGUGAAUCGUAUGUGAAUUAUAUCUCAAUAAAACUGUUUUUCAAAAGAGGAA